This 484-nucleotide ribosomal RNA is filed under the name uncultured bacterium. Its description in RNAcentral is "partial 16S ribosomal RNA". It matches the Rfam family "Bacterial small subunit ribosomal RNA", at positions 29 to 507 of the family's 1533-position model. The record is from RNAcentral.
AUUGAACGCUAGCGGGAUGCUUUACACAUGCAAGUCGAACGGCAGCGCGGACUUCGGUCUGGCGGCGAGUGGCGAACGGGUGAGUAAUGUAUCGGAACGUGCCCAGUAGCGGGGGAUAACUACGCGAAAGCGUAGCUAAUACCGCAUACGCCCUACGGGGGAAAGCCGGGGAUCGUAAGACCUUGCACUAUUGGAGCGGCCGGUAUCGGAUUAGCUAGUUGGUGAGGUAACGGCUCACCAAGGCGACGAUCCGUAGCAGGUUUGAGAGGACGACCAGCCACACUGGGACUGAGACACGGCCCAGACUCCUACGGGAGGCAGCAGUGGGGAAUUUUGGGCAAUGGGGGCAACCCUGACCCAGCCAUCCCGCGUGUGCGAUGAAGGCCUUCGGGUUGUAAAGCACUUUUGGCAGGAAAGAAACGUCGCGGGCUAAUACCCCGUGGAACUGACGGUACCUGCAGAAUAAGCACCGGCUAACUACGUG